CAGGCCUAACACAUGCAAGUCGAACGCACCGCAAGGUGAGUGGCAGACGGGUGAGUAACGCGUGGGAACCUUCCCUUUGGUACGGAAUAACUUCGGGAAACCGAAGCUAAUACCGUAUAAGUCCUUCGGGAGAAAGAUUUAUCGCCAAAGAAUGGGCCCGCGUUGGAUUAGCUAGUUGGUAGGGUAAAGGCCUACCAAGGCUACGAUCCAUAGCUGGUCUGAGAGGAUGAUCAGCCACACUGGGACUGAGACACGGCCCAGACUCCUACGGGAGGCAGCAGUGGGGAAUAUUGGACAAUGGGGGCAACCCUGAUCCAGCCAUGCCGCGUGAGUGAAGAAGGCCUUAGGGUUGUAAAGCUCUUUUGGCGGGGACGAUAAUGACGGUACCCGCAGAAUAAGCCCCGGCUAACUUCGUGCCAGCAGCCGCGGUAAUACA
Molecule: ribosomal RNA, 436 nt
Filed under: uncultured Alphaproteobacteria bacterium
Lineage: Bacteria; Pseudomonadati; Pseudomonadota; Alphaproteobacteria
Description: bacterial SSU rRNA
Rfam family: Bacterial small subunit ribosomal RNA
Source: RNAcentral